GUGGGGAAUAUUGGACAAUGGGCGAAAGCCUGAUCCAGCCAUGCCGCGUGUGUGAAGAAGGUCUUCGGAUUGUAAAGCACUUUAAGUUGGGAGGAAGGGCAGUAAGUUAAUACCUUGCUGUUUUGACGUUACCGACAGAAUAAGCACCGGCUAACUUCGUGCCAGCAGCCGCGGUAAUACGAAGGGUGCAAGCGUUAAUCGGAAUUACUGGGCGUAAAGUGCGCGUAGGUGGUUUUGUAAGUUGGAGGUGAAAUCCCCGGGCUCAACCUGGGAACUGCCUCCAAAACUGCAUGACUAGAGUACGGUAGAGGGUAGUGGAAUUUCCUGUGUAGCGGUGAAAUGCGUAGAUAUAGGAAGGAACACCAGUGGCGAAGGCGACUACCUGGACUGAUACUGACACUGAGGUGCGAAAGCGUGGGGAGCAAACAGGAUUAGAUACCCUUGUAGUCC
Molecule: ribosomal RNA, 450 nt
Filed under: uncultured bacterium
Lineage: Bacteria
Description: partial 16S ribosomal RNA
Rfam family: Bacterial small subunit ribosomal RNA
Source: RNAcentral